Molecule: ribosomal RNA, 460 nt
Filed under: uncultured bacterium
Lineage: Bacteria
Description: partial 16S ribosomal RNA
Rfam family: Bacterial small subunit ribosomal RNA
Source: RNAcentral
CCUACGGGAGGCAGCAGUGAGGAAUAUUGGUCAAUGGGCGCGAGCCUGAACCAGCCAAGUCGCGUGAGGGCAGACGGCCCUACGGGUUGUAAACCUCUUUUGCCGGGGAGCAACGGGCGCCACGUGUGGCGCCACUGAGAGUACCCGGAGAAAAAGCAUCGGCUAACUCCGUGCCAGCAGCCGCGGUAAUACGGAGGAUGCGAGCGUUCUCCGGGUUUAUUGGGUUAAAAGGGUGCGUAGGCGGAGCGUUAAGCCAGGGGGCAAAGUGAGGGGAUAAACCCCUUCCCGCCAUUGAAACUGGCGCUCUUGAGUGGAAGAGAAGUAUGCGGAAUGCGUGGUGUAGCGGUGAAAUGCAUAGAUAUCACGCAGAACCCCGAUUGCGAAGGCAGCAUGCCGGCUUCCUACUGACGCUGAAGCACGAAAGCGUGGGGAUCGAACAGGAUUAGAUACCCGAGUAGUC